AGUCGAGCGGACAGAAGGGAGCUUGCUCCCGGAUGUUAGCGGCGGACGGGUGAGUAACACGUGGGUAACCUGCCUGUAAGACUGGGAUAACUCCGGGAAACCGGAGCUAAUACCGGAUAGUUCCUUGAACCGCAUGGUUCAAGGAUGAAAGACGGUUUCGGCUGUCACUUACAGAUGGACCCGCGGCGCAUUAGCUAGUUGGUGAGGUAACGGCUCACCAAGGCGACGAUGCGUAGCCGACCUGAGAGGGUGAUCGGCCACACUGGGACUGAGACACGGCCCAGACUCCUACGGGAGGCAGCAGUAGGGAAUCUUCCGCAAUGGACGAAAGUCUGACGGAGCAACGCCGCGUGAGUGAUGAAGGUUUUCGGAUCGUAAAGCUCUGUUGUUAGGGAAGAACAAGUGCAAGAGUAACUGCUUGCACCUUGACGGUACCUAACCAGAAAGCCACGGCUAACUACGUGCCAGCAGCCGCGGUAAUACGUAGGUGGCAAGCGUUGUCCGGAAUUAUUGGGCGUAAAGGGCUCGCAGGCGGUUUCUUAAGUCUGAUGUGAAAGCCCCCGGCUCAACCGGGGAGGGUCAUUGGAAACUGGGAAACUUGAGUGCAGAAGAGGAGAGUGGAAUUCCACGUGUAGCGGUGAAAUGCGUAGAGAUGUGGAGGAACACCAGUGGCGAAGGCGACUCUCUGGUCUGUAACUGACGCUGAGGAGCGAAAGCGUGGGGAGCGAACAGGAUUAGAUACCCUGGUAGUCCACGCCGUAAACGAUGAGUGCUAAGUGUUAGG
RNAcentral lists this ribosomal RNA (784 nucleotides) under Bacillus pumilus. RNAcentral's name for it is "bacterial SSU rRNA". It matches the Rfam family "Bacterial small subunit ribosomal RNA", at positions 60 to 827 of the family's 1533-position model. Lineage: Bacteria; Bacillati; Bacillota; Bacilli; Caryophanales; Bacillaceae. The record is from RNAcentral.